AGCGAACGCUGGCGGCAGGCUUAACACAUGCAAGUCGAGCGGGCCCUUCGGGGUCAGCGGCGGACGGGUGAGUAACGCGUGGGAACGUGCCUUCUGGUCUGGAAUAACCCUGGGAAACUAGGGCGAAUACCGGCUACGCCCUUUUGGGGAAAGGCUUACUGCCGGAGGAUCGGCCCGCGUCUGAUUAGCUAGUUGGUGGGGUAACGGCCUACCAAGGCGACGAGCAGUAGCUGGUCUGAGAGGAUGAGCCGCCACACUGGGGCUGAGACACGGCGCAGACUCCUACGGGAGGCAGCAGUGGGGAAUCUUGGACAACGGGCGCAAGCCUGAUCCAGCCAUGCCGCGUGAGUGAUGAAGGCCUUAGGGUUGUAAAGCUCUUUUAUCCGGGACGAUAAUGACGGUACCGGAGGAAUAAGCCCCGGCUAACUUCGUG
Molecule: ribosomal RNA, 433 nt
Filed under: uncultured bacterium
Lineage: Bacteria
Description: partial 16S ribosomal RNA
Rfam family: Bacterial small subunit ribosomal RNA
Source: RNAcentral